This 238-nucleotide unclassified non-coding RNA is filed under the name plant metagenome. Its description in RNAcentral is "partial contains small subunit ribosomal RNA, internal transcribed spacer 1, and 5.8S ribosomal RNA". The stretch from base 1 to 53 matches the Rfam family "Eukaryotic small subunit ribosomal RNA", at positions 1778 to 1831 of the family's 1831-position model. The record is from RNAcentral.
GGAAGUAAAAGUCGAACAAGGUCUCCGUAGGUGAACCUGCGGAGGGAUCAUUACAAGUGACCCCGGUCUAACCACCGGGAUGUUCAUAACCCUUUGUUGUCCGACUCUGUUGCCUCCGGGGCGACCCUGCCUUCGGGCGGGGGCUCCGGGUGGACACUUCAAACUCUUGCGUAACUUUGCAGUCUGAGUAAACUUAAUUAAUAAAUUAAAACUUUUAACAACGGAUCUCUUGGUUCUG